RNAcentral lists this long non-coding RNA (230 nucleotides) under Brassica napus (rape). RNAcentral's name for it is "long non-coding RNA (BNAP_LNC008110)". The record is from RNAcentral. Lineage: Eukaryota; Viridiplantae; Streptophyta; Magnoliopsida; Brassicales; Brassicaceae.
AAAUAUCUACAUUAAUAUAUAUAUAUAGUCAUUCUUAGGUCCACCCCCUAGGUGAACCUCUAGGUUCACCAACCAAUAAGAUUGUUUUAUUUUAUAUUCGAUAUCUUUUAAAAAAUGAAACAAAAUAUUAUCAAAUUAUAUUAUGUUUUUAAAAUUAAAAAGUAAAAAAAAAAGUAAUAAUUACAAAAAAAAUAUUUUACUCGUCAGCAUAACAUUAAACCUAAACCCUA